Oryza glumipatula is the source of this 193-nucleotide non-coding RNA. The record is from Rfam. NCBI's taxonomy places the organism in Eukaryota, Viridiplantae, Streptophyta, Magnoliopsida, Poales, Poaceae.
UUUAAAAGCAGUCAUAAGUUUACAUGUCUAACUUUGAUCAUCUGUCUUAUUUAAAAAUUUGUAUGAUUAGCAUUUUUUGUUGUUAUUAGAUGAUAAAACGUGAAUAGUACUUUAUACGUAACUUAUUUUUUAAAUGUUUUUUAAAUAUAAUAGACGAUUAAAAUUGAACAUAAAACUCAUGGUUGUACUUAAG